UGAGUAACCUGCCCUUAACUCUGGGAUAAGCCUGGGAAACUGGGUCUAAUACCGGAUAUGACUCCUCAUCGCAUGGUGGGGGGUGGAAAGCUUUAUUGUGGUUUUGGAUGGACUCGCGGCCUAUCAGCUUGUUGGUGAGGUAAUGGCUCACCAAGGCGACGACGGGUAGCCGGCUGAGAGGGUGACCGGCCACACUGGGACUGAGACACGGCCCAGACUCCGUACGGGAGCAG
This 233-nucleotide ribosomal RNA is filed under the name uncultured bacterium. RNAcentral describes it as "partial 16S ribosomal RNA". It matches the Rfam family "Bacterial small subunit ribosomal RNA", at positions 118 to 347 of the family's 1533-position model. The record is from RNAcentral.